Molecule: ribosomal RNA, 253 nt
Filed under: uncultured bacterium
Lineage: Bacteria
Description: partial 16S ribosomal RNA
Rfam family: Bacterial small subunit ribosomal RNA
Source: RNAcentral
UACAGAGGUGGCAAGCGUUGUUCGGAAUUACUGGGCGUAAAGGGCGCGUAGGCGGCCUUCUAAGUCAGACGUGAAAUCCCCAGGCUUAACUUGGGAACUGCGUCUGAGACUGGCCGGCUUGAGUGCAGGAGAGGAACGCGGAAUUCCAGGUGUAGCGGUGAAAUGCGUAGAUAUCUGGAGGAACACCGGUGGCGAAGGCGGCGUUCUGGACUGCUACUGACACUGAGGAACGAAAGCCAGGGGAGCAAACGGG